GAACGCUAGCGGCAGGCUUAACACAUGACAAGUCGAGGGCAGCGAGAAGUGCUUGCUACUUUUGUCGGCGACCGGCGCGACGGGUGAGUAACACGUAUGCAACCUGCCUUGUCAGGGGGAUAAGCGAGGGAAACCUCGUCUAAUACCGCAUAUAUGAUUUGAGGCAUCUCAUAAUCAGGAAAGAAUUAUCGGACAAGGAUGGGCAUGCGGGACAUUAGGUAGUUGGGGGUGUAACGGACCACCAAGCCGACGAUGUCUAGGGGUUCUGAGAGGAAGGUCCCCCACACUGGUACUGAGACACGGACCAGACUCCUACGGGAGGCAGCAGUGAGGAAUAUUGGUCAAUGGGCGAGAGCCUGAACCAGCCAUGUCGCGUGCAGGAUUACGGCCCUAUGGGUUUUAAACUGCUUUUGUCUAGGGGUAAAAUCGCCACGAGUGGUAAAUUGAAAGUACUAGACGAAUAAGCAUCGGCUAACUCCGUG
RNAcentral lists this ribosomal RNA (482 nucleotides) under uncultured bacterium. Its description in RNAcentral is "bacterial SSU rRNA". It matches the Rfam family "Bacterial small subunit ribosomal RNA", at positions 31 to 507 of the family's 1533-position model. The record is from RNAcentral.